CUAUGUUGUCUAAUACUAUCACCUAUAAAAAAGUUAAUAGUUGCGUUUAAAAUUUUACAGUUUUUAUUUAUACGCUAAAAACAAACUUUAUUACACGUGCUUUAGAAAACCGCAAAGAUAUCGAAGAAUAAUGAACAUUAAAGUAUUUCUGCAUUUUUGCUUCGCAAAUAUAAAGUCUUCGUUAUUAGAAUAGCAAAGGACAAAACUCAGUUUUAUUUUCUUAAAAAAGCUUGAGUUGAUAAGAGCUUUCUAUAGCAAAAAUAUUUUAUUUUAAUAUAAAGCGUAUUUAUAACAUAACUAAUGCUCGCAAUUGUCGUGUUUUUAUACGCUUGUGGCUUAAAACGUCUGUCUCGCGUGCCGUAAAACGGUAGCUUAAAAGUAAUUAGUGCAAAACGAUUUGUUUGACUAAUACGAAAGCAAAACAACCACAGCCGACCGUGGUCAAAUCUACGAUAACAUCUACUGUGGAAUUAAAAGUACAAUAGAUCAAAUUUUCGUUCAAACACAGUGCCCGAAAAAACGUACUUGCUUAAUUUUCCAACGCGUUUGCGAAAAUAUUGCACUUGCCUUCGGGUCAAAAAUAGAAAGCCAAAAGCUUACGGGUACGAUUAUGGCAGAACGAAAAGGACUUAAAUACGGUAUGUAGGACAAAUAGCAAGAAGAGUAUUUGAACAGCUGCGCGUAACUCCGCUCAUACCGAUUAGGCACUCUCGUGACCGUAUUUGACGGAGUAGUUUAUUUUCUUUUGCAGAUAUUACAGUCAAAUUAUACUAAAAUCUACUUUCUCUUCAUUGACUAAAUUUCUUGAGUAAUUUGGGUACUUAAAGAUCCAUUUUUUGCCAAUUACUACGAUAUUUACAUACACGUUAAAGGACGUCAUUUUCAGUACUUUUGUUUGAAUCUGUUUAGACCUUUUAAAAAGCUUCUCUAUUGAUGAGGAGUAGGCAUAUCGCAUGUAACUUGGCGGUGACGCGAACCACGCAGAGGGUGGCGCAAGAGAAGGAAUGGGGGUGCACGUGUAGAGACAGAGAGCCAAAGCUAACGUGGUAUUUGCGCUAAGUGUUUACUUGACGCGUAGCAUUUGAGAAUCGUUAGGAAGAAUCGCUUGUAAACAGAGCGAAGCGCUCGCGUUAGGUCGGAUACUUUCAACAAAAUUCUGAACGUAAACAAUAAAUAGCAUUUCUCAAAACUUGGACGUUUUGUAAUUGACGGCGUGGCAGAUUUAUCUAGAUGGCUCAGUCAUUGUUAGAGGUGUUAACUUGUUAGUAAAGUUGUUAGUGAGAGUUCAUACGAACUUUUCCCGUUGCCUUAUAGCACAAGUUAGCGAAAUAGUAAGUUAGGACAUAGUCACCACAAUUAUAGAUUACGAGAAACUUUAUGGGUUAAGUUAUUUAAAUGGUUUGCGAGUAGGUUAGUUGGUUAGGGAUAGUGUGGGUAGCGAAUCGUUAGCAGUUAGUGGAAUGCAUU
Molecule: long non-coding RNA, 1467 nt
Organism: Maniola jurtina (meadow brown)
Lineage: Eukaryota; Metazoa; Arthropoda; Insecta; Lepidoptera; Nymphalidae
Exons: 4
Source: RefSeq, a predicted model, not a curated record